Molecule: ribosomal RNA, 253 nt
Filed under: uncultured bacterium
Lineage: Bacteria
Description: partial 16S ribosomal RNA
Rfam family: Bacterial small subunit ribosomal RNA
Source: RNAcentral
UACGUAGGUGGCGAGCGUUGUCCGGAUUUACUGGGCGUAAAGGGCGUGCAGGCGGUUUGUUAAGUGCAGGGUGAAAGCUCCCGGCUCAACUGGGAGAGGUCCUUGCAUACUGGCGAACUCGAGGGAGGCAGAGGAAAGUGGAAUUCCCGGUGUAGUGGUGAAAUGCGUAGAUAUCGGGAGGAACACCAGUGGCGAAGGCGACUACCUGGCCUGUUCUUGACGCUGAGGCGCGAAAGCUGGGGGAGCAAACGGG